This is a non-coding RNA of Danio rerio (zebrafish), 580 nucleotides long. The record is from RefSeq and is a predicted model, not a curated record. Lineage: Eukaryota; Metazoa; Chordata; Actinopteri; Cypriniformes; Danionidae.
ACAAAGUACUCAGAGUUACACAACUGCACCAACAGAUGGCAGUAUAGGACUGGAAAUAACUCACGGGGUGUGGUCUAUAACCACUUCAUCUAGUUAGCGUUCAGUUAGUCACACUGCUGUAAAUCACGCGUGUUCGAGACGGAGUGAAGAUUGUUCUUGGUGUUUGCUAUAAUUUGUGCUAAUUGUGUGCUUUAUUGACAAGAAACCACACAUACACACAAACACACCUAUCAUCACACCAAUUAUAAAUGCCUGGAAGUUCUACAUCCAUCAACCAAAUUAAAGUUUGUUUUUUGAGAACUGGACUGUUGCACCUCUUUUUAAUAGAAGAGCAUGGCUGGAAAGCAGGAGCUAGUGUAACGCACACAGCAAAUAACUGGACACAGAGAAGACAGAACAAGCACAUAAUCUCCUCCACCUCCUCCUCCUCCUCUUCUUCUUCUUGUGUGGCGAGUUACAGAGAGCAGCGUAAAGCUGAAUACUGGAGAGUGUAUAAUAAUAAUAUGUGUACAGUUUGGUCAAAUCAGUGUCAUAGAGCUCAAUGUAGAUUUGUAGAAAAUAAAAUGACUGCUUUCCCAUA